UAUUGGGCGUAAAGCGUCCUCAGGUGGUCAGCCAAGUCUGCCGUCAAAUCAGGUUGCUUAACGACCUAAAGGCGGUGGAAACUGGCAGACUAGAGAGCAGUAGGGGUAGCAGGAAUUCCCAGUGUAGCGGUGAAAUGCGUAAAGAUUGGGAAGAACAUCGGUGGCGAAAGCGUGCUACUGGGCUGUAUCUAACACUCAGGGACGAAAGCUAGGGGAGCGAAAGGGAUUAGAUACCCCUGUAGUCCUAGCCGUAAACGAUGGAUACUAGGCGUGGCUUGUAUCGACCCGAGCCGUGCCGAAGCUAACGCGUUAAGUAUCCCGCCUGGGGAGUACGCACGCAAGUGUGAUACUCAAAGGAAUUGACGGGGGCCCACACAAGCGGUGGAGUAUGUGGUU
RNAcentral lists this ribosomal RNA (396 nucleotides) under uncultured Microcystis sp. RNAcentral describes it as "bacterial SSU rRNA". It matches the Rfam family "Bacterial small subunit ribosomal RNA", at positions 552 to 946 of the family's 1533-position model. Lineage: Bacteria; Bacillati; Cyanobacteriota; Cyanophyceae; Chroococcales; Microcystaceae. The record is from RNAcentral.